UGGGGAAUAUUGGGCAAUGGGCGAAAGCCUGACCCAGCAACGCCGCGUGAGUGAUGAAGGCCUUCGGGUUGUAAAACUCUUUGGACAGGGACGAAGAAAGUGACGGUACCUGUAGAACAAGCCACGGCUAACUACGUGCCAGCAGCCGCGGUAAUACGUAGGUGGCGAGCGUUGUCCGGAAUUAUUGGGCGUAAAGGGUACGUAGGUGGUUUUUUAAGUCAGGUGUCAAAGCGUGGAGCUUAACUCCAUUAAGCACUUGAAACUGAAAGACUUGAGUGAAGGAGAGGAAAGUGGAAUUCCUAGUGUAGCGGUGAAAUGCGUAGAUAUUAGGAGGAAUACCGGUGGCGAAGGCGACUUUCUGGACUUUUACUGACGCUCAGGUACGAAAGCGUGGGGAGCGAACAGG
Molecule: ribosomal RNA, 406 nt
Filed under: Verrucomicrobiota bacterium
Lineage: Bacteria; Pseudomonadati; Verrucomicrobiota
Description: Verrucomicrobia bacterium partial 16S ribosomal RNA
Rfam family: Bacterial small subunit ribosomal RNA
Source: RNAcentral